CCUACGGGAGGCAGCAGUAGGGAAUAUUGCUCAAUGGGGGAAACCCUGAAGCAGCAACGCCGCGUGGAGGAUGAAGGUUUUCGGAUUGUAAACUCCUUUUGUUAGAGAAGAUAAUGACGGUAUCUAACGAAUAAGCACCGGCUAACUCCGUGCCAGCAGCCGCGGUAAUACGGAGGGUGCAAGCGUUACUCGGAAUCACUGGGCGGAAAGAGCGCGUAGGCGGGAUAGCAAGUCAGAUGUGAAAUCCUAUGGCUUACCCAUAGAACUGAAUUUGAAACUGUUAUUCUAGAGUAUGGGAGAGGUAGGUGGAAUUCUUGGUGUAGGGGUAAAAUCCGUAGAGAUCAAGAGGAAUACUCAUUGCGAAGGCGACCUGCUAGAACAUAACUGACGCUGAUGCGCGAAAGCGUGGGGAGCAAACAGGAUUAGAUACCCCUGUAGUC
RNAcentral lists this ribosomal RNA (440 nucleotides) under uncultured bacterium. Its description in RNAcentral is "partial 16S ribosomal RNA". It matches the Rfam family "Bacterial small subunit ribosomal RNA", at positions 338 to 795 of the family's 1533-position model. The record is from RNAcentral.